This 262-nucleotide ribosomal RNA is filed under the name uncultured prokaryote. RNAcentral's name for it is "partial 16S ribosomal RNA". It matches the Rfam family "Bacterial small subunit ribosomal RNA", at positions 917 to 1178 of the family's 1533-position model. The record is from RNAcentral.
GGGCCCGCACAAGCGGUGGAGCAUGUGGUUUAAUUCGAAGCAACGCGAAGAACCUUACCAGGUCUUGACAUACUCGUGCUAUUCCUAGAGAUAGAAGUGUUCUCUUCGGAGACAAAGUGACAGGUGGUGCAUGGUCGUCGUCAGCUCGUGUCGUGAGAUGUUGGGUUAAGUCCCGCAACGAGCGCAACCCUUAUUGUUAGUUGCCAGCAUUCAGAUGGGCACUCUAGCGAGACUGCCGGUGACAAACCGGAGGAAGGCGGGG